CCUACGGGUGGCAGCAGUGAGGAAUAUUGGUCAAUGGGCGCAAGCCUGAUGCAGUGACGCCGCGUGAGCGAAGAAGUAUUUCGGUAUGUAAAGCUCUAUCAGCAGGGAAGAAAAUGACGGUACCUGACGAAGAAGCUCCGGCUAAAUACGUGCCAGCAGCCGCGGUAAUACGUAGGGCGCAAGCGUUAUCCGGAUUGACUGGGUGUAAAGGGAGCGUAGGCGGCAUGGGAAGUCUGAUGUGAAAACCUGGGGCUCAACCCCAAACGUGCAUUGGAAACUGCAGGUCUGUAGGGGGGGAGAGGCAGGCGGAAUUCCUGGUGUAGGGGUGAAAUGCGUAGAGAUCAGGAGGAACACCAGUGGCGAAGGCGACCUGCUGGAAGAUAACUGACGCUGAGGCUCGAAAGCGUGGGGAGCAAACAGGAUUAGAUACCCUUGUAGUC
This 440-nucleotide ribosomal RNA is filed under the name uncultured bacterium. Its description in RNAcentral is "partial 16S ribosomal RNA". It matches the Rfam family "Bacterial small subunit ribosomal RNA", at positions 338 to 795 of the family's 1533-position model. The record is from RNAcentral.